RNAcentral lists this ribosomal RNA (254 nucleotides) under uncultured bacterium. RNAcentral describes it as "partial 16S ribosomal RNA". It matches the Rfam family "Bacterial small subunit ribosomal RNA", at positions 524 to 776 of the family's 1533-position model. The record is from RNAcentral.
UACGUAGGGAGCAAGCGUUGUCCGGAUUUAUUGGGCGUAAAGAGCUCGUAGGUGGCUCGGUAAGUCGGGUGUGAAAUUUCGAGGCUCAACCUCGAAACGCCACCUGAUACUGCUGUGGCUUGAGUCCGGUAGGGGAGCGUGGAAUUCCUGGUGUAGCGGUGAAAUGCGCAGAUAUCAGGAGGAACACCAGCGGCGAAGGCGGCGCUCUGGGCCGGUACUGACACUGAGGAGCGAAAGCGUGGGGAUCAAACAGG